UUACUUACCUAGCAGGGGAGAUACUGUGAUCCCAAAGGUGGUUUUCCCAGAGUAAGGCUCACCUAUUGCAUGCUGGGUGUGCUGGCCCUUGUGAUUUUCCCAAAUGUAAGAAACUUGACUACGUAAUUUGUGGUUAUGGGCUG
RNAcentral lists this small nuclear RNA (143 nucleotides) under Cercocebus atys (sooty mangabey). RNAcentral describes it as "U1 spliceosomal RNA (ENSCATG00000018690.1)". It matches the Rfam family "U1 spliceosomal RNA", at positions 1 to 144 of the family's 166-position model. Rfam says of the family: U1 is a small nuclear RNA (snRNA) component of the spliceosome (involved in pre-mRNA splicing). Its 5' end forms complementary base pairs with the 5' splice junction, thus defining the 5' donor site of an intron. The record is from RNAcentral. Lineage: Eukaryota; Metazoa; Chordata; Mammalia; Primates; Cercopithecidae.